Molecule: ribosomal RNA, 797 nt
Filed under: Citrobacter gillenii
Lineage: Bacteria; Pseudomonadati; Pseudomonadota; Gammaproteobacteria; Enterobacterales; Enterobacteriaceae
Description: bacterial SSU rRNA
Rfam family: Bacterial small subunit ribosomal RNA
Source: RNAcentral
GCACAGAGGAGCUUGCUCCUUGGGUGACGAGUGGCGGACGGGUGAGUAAUGUCUGGGAAACUGCCCGAUGGAGGGGGAUAACUACUGGAAACGGUAGCUAAUACCGCAUAACGUCGCAAGACCAAAGAGGGGGACCUUCGGGCCUCUUGCCAUCGGAUGUGCCCAGAUGGGAUUAGCUAGUAGGUGGGGUAACGGCUCACCUAGGCGACGAUCCCUAGCUGGUCUGAGAGGAUGACCAGCCACACUGGAACUGAGACACGGUCCAGACUCCUACGGGAGGCAGCAGUGGGGAAUAUUGCACAAUGGGCGCAAGCCUGAUGCAGCCAUGCCGCGUGUAUGAAGAAGGCCUUCGGGUUGUAAAGUACUUUCAGCGAGGAGGAAGGGGAUGUGGUUAAUAACCGCAUUCAUUGACGUUACUCGCAGAAGAAGCACCGGCUAACUCCGUGCCAGCAGCCGCGGUAAUACGGAGGGUGCAAGCGUUAAUCGGAAUUACUGGGCGUAAAGCGCACGCAGGCGGUCUGUCAAGUCGGAUGUGAAAUCCCCGGGCUCAACCUGGGAACUGCAUCCGAAACUGGCAGGCUAGAGUCUUGUAGAGGGGGGUAGAAUUCCAGGUGUAGCGGUGAAAUGCGUAGAGAUCUGGAGGAAUACCGGUGGCGAAGGCGGCCCCCUGGACAAAGACUGACGCUCAGGUGCGAAAGCGUGGNGAGCAAACAGGAUUAGAUACCCUGGUAGUCCACGCCGUAAACGAUGUCGACUUGGAGGUUGUUCCCUUGAGGAGUGGCUUCCGGAGCUAACGC